GAUGAACGCUGGCGGCGUGCCUAAUACAUGCCAGUCGAGCGAACGGACGAGAAGCUUGCUUCUCUGAUGUUAGCGGCGGACGGGUGAGUAACACGUGGAUAACCUACCUAUAAGACUGGGAUAACUUCGGGAAACCGUAGCUAAUACUGGAUAAUAUUUUGUACCGCAUGGUUCAAAAGUGAAAGACGGUCUUGCUGUCACUUAUAGAUGGAUCCGCGCUGCAUUAGCUAGUUGGUAGGGUAACGGCUUACCAAGGCAACGAUGCAUAGCCGACCUGAGAGGGUGAUCGGCCACACUGGAACUGAGACACGGUCCAGACUCCUACGGGAGGCAGCAGUAGGGAAUCUUCCGCAAUGGGCGAAAGCCUGACGGAGCAACGCCGCGUGAGUGAUGAAGGUCUUCGGAUCGUAAAACUCUGUUAUUAGGGAAGAACAUAUGUGUAAGUAACUGUGCACAUCUUGACGGUACCUAAUCAGAAAGCCACGGCUAACUACGUG
RNAcentral lists this ribosomal RNA (497 nucleotides) under uncultured bacterium. Its description in RNAcentral is "partial 16S ribosomal RNA". It matches the Rfam family "Bacterial small subunit ribosomal RNA", at positions 28 to 507 of the family's 1533-position model. The record is from RNAcentral.